UACGUAGGGGGCAAGCGUUGUCCGGAAUCAUUGGGCGUAAAGCGCGUGUAGGCGGCCACGUUAGUCCGUUCUGAAAGCCCGGGGCUCAACCCCGGGAGGCGGAUGGAUACUGCGUGGCUCGAGUCCGGAAGAGGCGAGUGGAAUUCCUGGUGUAGCGGUGAAAUGCGCAGAUAUCAGAAGGAACACCAAUGGCGAAGGCAGCUCGCUGGGACGUGACUGUCGCUGAGACGCGAAAGCGUGGGGAGCAAACAGG
RNAcentral lists this ribosomal RNA (253 nucleotides) under uncultured bacterium. RNAcentral's name for it is "partial 16S ribosomal RNA". It matches the Rfam family "Bacterial small subunit ribosomal RNA", at positions 524 to 776 of the family's 1533-position model. The record is from RNAcentral.